AGUCGAACGCUUUUUCUUUCACCGAGAUUUAUCUCACCGAAAGAAAAAGAGUGGCGAACGGGUGAGUAACACGUGGGUAACCUGCCCAUCAGCGGAGGAUAACACUUGGAAACAGGUGCUAAUACUGCAUAAUACGAAGGAUCACAUGGUCUUUCGUUGAAAGGCGCUUUUGCGUCACUGAUGGAUGGACCCGCGGUGCAUUAGCUAGUUGGUGAGGUAACGGCUCACCAAGGCCACGAUGCAUAGCCGACCUGAGAGGGUGAUCGGCCACACUGGGACUGAGACACGGCCCAGACUCCUACGGGAGGCAGCAGUAGGGAAUCUUCGGCAAUGGACGAAAGUCUGACCGAGCAACGCCGCGUGAGUGAAGAAGGUUUUCGGAUCGUAAAACUCUGUUGUUAGAGAAGAACAAGGAUGAGAAGAGAAUGUUCAUCCCUUGACGGUAUCUAACCAGAAAGCCACGGCUAACUACGUGCCAGCAGCCGCGGUAAUACGUAGGUGGCAAGCGUUGUCCGGAUUUAUUGGGCGUAAAGCGAGCGCAGGCGGUUUCUUAAGUCUGAUGUGAAAGCCCCCGGCUUAACCGGGGAGGGUCAUUGGAAACUGGGAGACUUGAGUGCAGAAGAGGAGAGUGGAAUUCCAUGUGUAGCGGUGAAAUGCGUAGAUAUAUGGAGGAACACCAGUGGCGAAGGCGGCUCUCUGGUCUGUAACUGACGCUGAG
RNAcentral lists this ribosomal RNA (718 nucleotides) under Enterococcus sp. RNAcentral's name for it is "bacterial SSU rRNA". It matches the Rfam family "Bacterial small subunit ribosomal RNA", at positions 60 to 750 of the family's 1533-position model. Lineage: Bacteria; Bacillati; Bacillota; Bacilli; Lactobacillales; Enterococcaceae. The record is from RNAcentral.